This 254-nucleotide ribosomal RNA is filed under the name uncultured bacterium. RNAcentral describes it as "partial 16S ribosomal RNA". It matches the Rfam family "Bacterial small subunit ribosomal RNA", at positions 524 to 776 of the family's 1533-position model. The record is from RNAcentral.
UACGAAGGGUGCAAGCGUUACUCGGAAUUACUGGGCGUAAAGCGUGCGCAGGCGGUUUUGUAAGUCUGACGUGAAAUCCCCGGGCUCAACCUGGGAAUUGCGUUUGGAGACUGCAAGGCUGGAGUCUGGCAGAGGGGGGUAGAAUUCCACGUGUAGCAGUGAAAUGCGUAGAGAUGUGGAGGAACACCGAUGGCGAAGGCAGCCCCCUGGGUCAAGACUGACGCUCAUGCACGAAAGCGUGGGGAGCAAACAGG